This 358-nucleotide ribosomal RNA is filed under the name Ramularia endophylla. RNAcentral's name for it is "SSU rRNA". It matches the Rfam family "Eukaryotic small subunit ribosomal RNA", at positions 1476 to 1831 of the family's 1831-position model. Lineage: Eukaryota; Fungi; Ascomycota; Dothideomycetes; Mycosphaerellales; Mycosphaerellaceae. The record is from RNAcentral.
GAUGUUCUGGGCCGCACGCGCGCUACACUGACACAGCCAACGAGUUCAUCACCUUGGCCGGAAGGUCUGGGUAAUCUUGUUAAACUGUGUCGUGCUGGGGAUAGAGCAUUGCAAUUAUUGCUCUUCAACGAGGAAUGCCUAGUAAGCGCAUGUCAUCAGCAUGCGUUGAUUACGUCCCUGCCCUUUGUACACACCGCCCGUCGCUACUACCGAUUGAAUGGCUCAGUGAGGCCUUCGGACUGGCUCAGGGAGGUCGGCAACGACCACCCAGAGCCGGAAAGUUGGUCAAACUCGGUCAUUUAGAGGAAGUAAAAGUCGUAACAAGGUCUCCGUAGGUGAACCUGCGGAGGGAUCAUUA